This is a transfer RNA of Camelus ferus (Wild Bactrian camel), 73 nucleotides long. It matches the Rfam family "tRNA". Rfam says of the family: Transfer RNA (tRNA) molecules are approximately 80 nucleotides in length. NCBI's taxonomy places the organism in Eukaryota, Metazoa, Chordata, Mammalia, Artiodactyla, Camelidae. The record is from Rfam.
AAGGGCAUAGCUCAAAUGAUAGAGCACAUGCUUAGCAUGUGUGGGGUCCUGGGUUUAAUCCCCAGUACCUCCA